GCUAAAAAGACCUUAACCAAAUUUUUUAUCCCCAGGGGUCAUGUUGCUUGUGUGGCCGGUGUGAAUGUGACCGGGGGCUUGGCAGGGGUGAUGGGAGGCUUGGCAAGGGUGGCAGGGGGGCGAGGUACAGCCAAUACCCCCCGGCGUACAUGCCCUCAAAACUGCAGGAGAUGGAGGACAGCGGGGAGAUGAAGGAAUUUGAGUAGCGGGCGGUCCGAGUGGCCCACAGCACCCACACCACCUCCGUACUCCACCACCCGCUUGUCAGGAAAUUCACCAACCACAUCAUGAAAACAGGAAACAAACCUCUGGCCAGGGAACUUGUCGAGAAGGUCAAAGGUCACAACUAGCCAGCCGGGAGUGGGUCAGGAUGGCACGGCUGGCUGUGGUGGUGGUGGUGGUGGUAUUGGUGUUGGCGGCAGCAGCAGCGGA
Portunus trituberculatus (swimming crab) is the source of this 432-nucleotide long non-coding RNA. RefSeq lists it as uncharacterized. The record is from RefSeq and is a predicted model, not a curated record. The transcript has 3 exons. Lineage: Eukaryota; Metazoa; Arthropoda; Malacostraca; Decapoda; Portunidae.